Astyanax mexicanus (Mexican tetra) is the source of this 3697-nucleotide long non-coding RNA. RefSeq lists it as uncharacterized. The record is from RefSeq and is a predicted model, not a curated record. The transcript has 9 exons. NCBI's taxonomy places the organism in Eukaryota, Metazoa, Chordata, Actinopteri, Characiformes, Acestrorhamphidae.
GGGAGCGCUAAUUAACGGCGAAAGUACGGCUGUAAAAACUGUUUUUUAGAUUAAAACACGCUGUUAUUUUUGCAGUAAGUGUCUGCUAGACAUUUUAAUGUCGAGUAGUUGCUAGAUAACGUUGUCACCUAGUAUUUCUGAGUAGUUUUCCCUAACGUUUAGUUUAAUUGUUUGGUUAGCUAAUCGGCUAAUUAGCUAAGCUAAUGAGUUGAGGGUGCUUAGCAACCGUGCUAGCUAAGCUGAGCUAAACUAGGUUAUCUAGUUAGCGUUAGCUUGUGCCUGAGUUUGUUUGUUUGGAGAAGCCAGGCGAGCUUAGAGCGCAAAUUCACCAUCAAAAACAGGCCUGUGUAUAAGCUGGAGUGUGGGAGAAUGGGAUACACGACUUCAGAGCUUCUCAGCCGGAGAAAGAGAGGGAGCUGAGGAGCCAAAAACUACUCAAACAUCGCAUUUACUGGAGGGCUGGCGCUGUGACAUAACGGCUUCAGGCUUCGUCUCUUCAGAAGCCUCAGCCUGCUGGAGUUUGCUGUGUGGACCUUCCAGAGAAAAGGAUUCACUGCCGGCCACAAAAAAAGGAAAAAAGAAAAAGUGUGGGCUUCAUUUGGACAGAGUGAGUCACGGACAGCAGCUACUGCAAUGCAGGGGUUCCUCCUGCUUCUGCUGUUAGCAGGCGGCCACUGAGAGGGUAGAUCUGCUGAUCACUUGUAAGGAAAAAAGAAGGAAGAAGAAACAGCCACUUUACAGAAAGGUAUGUAAAGUAUGCAUCCCAGUCCAGAGAAAAUAGCCUUUUUUAUAAUUAAUUUGUCGGCAAAGAACGAUAUACAACAGUUACAGAGGAAAGACAGUCAAAUCUGUUAGAGCUGCAUUGUAGCUCGUUAAUGUUGUCAGUGUUCGUGUCAGUACCAUCAGAUCUCCUAAGCCACGCCUCCACGCCGUAGAGCUCCAUUUUUACACACACAUUAGAAAGCAGAAGGCCUCACAACACUGAAAUUAGUCCGCCAGAUAGACUAGGUCAGUGGCUGCUGCUGCUGCGUCCAUGCCAGGUGUUUAUAUAUGCUGGUUAGUGGGGCUGCGCUGGGGCUGAUCUCCUGCAGGUCUGCUUGGAUGGAGCAGUUCAGAAAAAUACAAAAACAACGACAGACAGGUCAGACUCGCACAAGGAAGUCCAGGUUGAGUGAUGCAGGCAUGUGUAUGGUCUCCAGACUCAGGGCUGAAGGAGUGUAGGGGAACAGCACGGGGAACGUGUGCUUGGUGUCCACCAGGAGCUGUUUGUUUUCUAUUCUGUCUUGGAGCCGGUUCUGAAAUGGGAAAACAACAUAUAGGGGGGUGUAAAGAUUGAGGAUCUUCACAAUCUGAGAGGGAAAAUAACAAUUCAAGGUUCAGCACUCGAGUUACAGACUGUAAAGGCCCUAAGAAGCUGGGCUGCUUGGAUCAGGGGCUCGAUAGUGGCCAUCACUCCACUCUGGUGUAGGUUCCUCCCCCUUAACCACUCCUCCAUCUGACUGAUGUUGUACCUGGAGUCACAGGAUGAAGUCUUACCUGAGCUGCAUGCCGGUGCUCCAGGAGCAGACGUCUUUGCGCAGCAGUAAGUUGUUGAGUGUGACGGCGUUGAUUGAGUAGAAAAGCUGGCGGAUGACCUGCUGACCAAUCUCUGGGUCCAAACCGUGCUCCCCCAUGAUGGUGUUAAACUGGCCCAGCUGCCUGAUCAGAGCUUCCAGGGUGUAUCCCCCUGGGCCUCCAGUCUCACAGUCCAUACUGGAGGAACGGUUCCUGUAGCCCAUUGGCUUCACUCCUGUCAGACUUCCACUCUCCAGCAUCGCAGACACUAACAAAGAGAGAAAGAAAUGAAGAGAUGAGUUACUGUCAAAAGAGAGAAUUUAAAUCUACUACUCACCGAUCAUGGGCUGCAGAAUGGACUCAGCUAUUUUAAUGAGCUGCUGGUAGAUCUGGAUGGACAGAUCACUCAGUACCUGCCGGUACUCUGCCAGGUCAAAGUUCUUCAGGCAGUGCUCGUUCUGUUUGGAUGUGUUCUGAGUCAUGAAAGCCUGUGGGACAAAAGACACGCAAGGCUUAGCUUAGAACUAGUUAUUUACCGAACAAAAGCUCUUUCACUAAAGAGUGUAAGCUUUGCUGUGUGUCGAAGCAAACGUGUUUGGAUAGGUUGUGCUUCUCACCUCGUCUCCGCUGUAUUGCUUCAGACAGUGCAGGAGUCGACUAGUGUUAGCCAGCCAGAAAGAAGUCAUCUCAAAGUCAUCAUUGUUUUUCUGCACAGUAAAAACAGCACAAAGUGUAAAACUGUUAAUUAUUACUGACACAUCAACAACUCAUCAGCUAAUUUGGUAUAAAAUGUGAAGGGUUUGUAUUGAAGGAGGUGUGUGAGACGUACUUUGAGAACUUUCUUGACAGCGUUGAUCGUUGAGGUGAGCAUAGAGUGCACUUUCUGGUCGUCGUUGAUGUAGUCAGCAUGACGGAUGCACAUGAACAGGAUGUAGGCUGGGAGACAGGGGACCGUGGCUGACACAACAUGGGGCUUCAUGUCUGAGAACACACACAUACACAUUUGCAUUGAAUAGAGUUAUAUAGACUUUUCCCUCCCCCACACAGCAGGUAAAAGUGACCCAAACCUGAAAUGUUCUCAUGAAAUCCUAUGUUUAUUUUUGACUGUUCACGAUAUCUUUGUAAUGUGACCCAUAUCAAAAUAGCAUUGCUUCACAUAAAGUUUCGGUUUCAUCCUGGUCAGAAACUCAAGAGCUAGAAUGUGUUUAGGCUCAAACCGAGCAUAUCUCAAAAUGUAUUUAACCAUGUCUUUUGUAUUACCUCUAUUUUUGUAUUUUUUCUUUGACACUAUUGCUGCAUCCUAUGUUUGUGGCUUUGUUUGGCCAUUUCAUUAGAAACACUGAGCGGCUGUGACACAAGUCUUCUAAUAUUAUUAUAAAAGAGACAUCAGUCCAAAUAUUUAUAAGCUCUGUUAGCUCAUUUUCUUACCAUUCAAACCCUUGUUUAGAGUUCAGACAGUCUCACAUUCCCACAAAUGAGAUUUGUAUCGAUUCAAUACCACAUAUUGAAGAGGUCCAAAUCGGUAUUAAAAAUGUCAGAUUGUUGUUUUUGCUGUUCAGACAGCCACAAAAACAUUUUAAAUGUGUCAUAUUUAAUGUAAUAGAGCAGAUUUGGGCCACUUUUACCUGCUGUGUGAAUAUUUAGAUAGUAUUAAUAAAUGGUCAGCUAUACCAGUAACAAGAGUUCUGAUCAGCAGGGCCUCGUCCUCUUUGAUGUACUCCAGCAUGCCCUCAAAGUCCUUAUCCUUCCUCUGCACUGUGACCUGCCGGGUUAGCUCAGGUCUGGCCCUGCUACUCUGCGCGGCUACAGCCUGGGACACUAUACAACACAGAGAGACCCCACAUCACAUGAGUAUUACAGUGAGCUUCUCCAUGACCUCCUUGAGAUCCUGGAACAGAACAUCAUCUUUAUUUGGAGGCAAAAUAGAGAUUUAUGUACACAGAGCACAGAAGGAAACGCUGUUUUGAAGCUUGUACUGUGUGUGUCUUCCUGUUGGAACAAUUGGUUCUCAUUGGUGAGGCGAGUGAUCUCCUGCUGCACGCUGAACUCCACUAGAGCCUCUGGAGGUAAAGUGCUGAAGUGAUUCAGAGUCUCCUGCUUCUUCUCCAGGUCCUCCUUCAGUACCUCGAUCUGGGUGUGUAGA